AUACGUAGGGUGCGAGCGUUGUCCGGAAUUACUGGGCGUAAAGAGCUCGUAGGUGGUUUGUCGCGUCGUCUGUGAAAUUCCGGGGCUUAACUCCGGGCGUGCAGGCGAUACGGGCAUAACUUGAGUACUGUAGGGGAGACUGGAAUUCCUGGUGUAGCGGUGAAAUGCGCAGAUAUCAGGAGGAACACCGGGGGCGAAGGCGUGUCUCUGGGCAGUAACUGACGCUGAGGAGCGAAAGCAUGGGUAGCGAACAGGAUUAGAUACCCUGGUAGUCCAUGCCGUAAACGGUGGGCGCUAGGUGUAGGGGUCUUCCACGACUUCUGUGCCGUAGCUAACGCAUUAAGCGCCCCGCCUGGGGAGUACGGCCGCAAGGCUAAAACUCAAAGGAAUUGACGGGG
This 398-nucleotide ribosomal RNA is filed under the name uncultured bacterium. RNAcentral's name for it is "partial 16S ribosomal RNA". It matches the Rfam family "Bacterial small subunit ribosomal RNA", at positions 523 to 918 of the family's 1533-position model. The record is from RNAcentral.